GACGAACGCUGGCGGCGUGCUUAACACAUGCAAGUCGAACGGUGAACUCCGCUUGCGGGGGGAUCAGUGGCGAACGGGUGAGUAACACGUGGGCAACCUGCCCUCAGCUCUGGGAUAACUCCAAGAAAUUGGGGCUAAUACCGGAUAUGACCGCUGACCGCAUGGUCUGGGGGUGGAAAGAUUUAUCGGCUGGGGAUGGACCCGCGGCCUAUCAGCUUGUUGGUGGGGUAGUGGCCUACCAAGGCGGCGACGGGUAGCCGGCCUGAGAGGGUGACCGGCCACACUGGGACUGAGACACGGCCCAGACUCCUACGGGAGGCAGCAGUGGGGAAUAUUGCGCAAUGGGCGAAAGCCUGACGCAGCGACGCCGCGUGGGGGAUGACGGCCUUCGGGUUGUAAACCUCUUUCAGCAGGGACGAAGCGAAAGUGACGGUACCUGCAGAAGAAGCACCGGCCAACUACGUG
Molecule: ribosomal RNA, 465 nt
Filed under: uncultured bacterium
Lineage: Bacteria
Description: partial 16S ribosomal RNA
Rfam family: Bacterial small subunit ribosomal RNA
Source: RNAcentral